RNAcentral lists this ribosomal RNA (253 nucleotides) under uncultured bacterium. Its description in RNAcentral is "partial 16S ribosomal RNA". It matches the Rfam family "Bacterial small subunit ribosomal RNA", at positions 524 to 776 of the family's 1533-position model. The record is from RNAcentral.
UACAGAGGUCUCAAGCGUUGUUCGGAUUCAUUGGGCGUAAAGGGUGCGUAGGUGGCGCCGUAAGUCGGGUGUGAAAUUUCGGAGCUUAACUCCGAAACUGCAUUCGAUACUGCGGUGCUUGAGGACUGGAGAGGAGACUGGAAUUCAUGGUGUAGCAGUGAAAUGCGUAGAUAUGCGGAGGAACACCGAUGGCGAAGGCAAUCCCCUGGGCCUGCACUGACGCUCAUGCACGAAAGCGUGGGGAGCAAACAGG